Molecule: ribosomal RNA, 433 nt
Filed under: uncultured bacterium
Lineage: Bacteria
Description: partial 16S ribosomal RNA
Rfam family: Bacterial small subunit ribosomal RNA
Source: RNAcentral
AACGAACGCUGGCGGCAUGCCUAACACAUGCAAGUCGAACGAGACCUUCGGGUCUAGUGGCGCACGGGUGCGUAACGCGUGGGAACCUGCCCUUAGGUUCGGAAUAACUCCCCGAAAGGGGUGCUAAUACCGGAUAAUGUCUUCGGACCAAAAAUUUAUCGCCUUUGGAUGGGCCCGCGUUGGAUUAGCUAGUUGGUAGGGUAAAAGCCUACCAAGGCGACGAUCCAUAGCUGGUCUGAGAGGAUGAUCAGCCACACUGGGACUGAGACACGGCCCAGACUCCUACGGGAGGCAGCAGUGGGGAAUAUUGGACAAUGGGCGAAAGCCUGAUCCAGCAAUGCCGCGUGAGUGAUGAAGGCCUUAGAGUUGUAAAGCUCUUUUACCCGGGAUGAUAAUGACAGUACCGGGAGAAUAAGCUCCGGCUAACUCCGUG